This is a long non-coding RNA of Tachysurus vachellii, 2044 nucleotides long. RefSeq lists it as uncharacterized. NCBI's taxonomy places the organism in Eukaryota, Metazoa, Chordata, Actinopteri, Siluriformes, Bagridae. The transcript has 3 exons. The record is from RefSeq and is a predicted model, not a curated record.
AGCAUGAGGGAGGUGAAACAGCACAACCUGCUGUGUGGAAUAGCACACUGCGCCUAGAGAUGACUCAGAUGUGAUGGAUGAGCCGGUAAGCAUUUACAGAAAGAGAGGAAAAGAGGCGGAGUGAGGACUGGAAAGGCGUGAGGAAGAGAGAACGGGAGAAAGAUAUUGCUUACAUGUUGACACACUCUGCAGAAAUCAGAGCUGUUGGAUGUGUCAUGUAUGACUGUGUAGCUGAGACAGUAUGAGCUUUCUCUCUCUCUCUCUCUCUCUCUCUCUCUCUCUCUCUCUCUCUCUCUAUCUCUCUCUCUCUCUCUCUCUCUCACACACACAGAGAGGAUUACAGUCCAAGAAGCUCAGUCAUUCUGUUGAACACGGGCGAACUUUCUCUUUCGCUCUCUCUCAUCCCUCUUCAGCCUCUUUCUCUUUCCUUUUCGGUAUUUCUCAGAAGGCAGCGAGGUGCUGGGAUACACGGACGUGCAGGAUAGAUGGCGUAACACUAGAGCCUAAUUAGUGGACUCGAAGCAGGUGCUCUGUCAAAUCGGACAGAAAAGGAUUCUGCAGCAGGACGGCUGACCCGCUGAGCUUCAGAAACGUAACAAGAAGUCGAUCUGUGUUUGGACAGAAGAGUGGAACGCAGCCUUGAACGAAUCGAUUCGGUCCUGCUGAGGUCAUACAAGUCUCCAUCUCUAUCCCUCUUUCUCUUCUCUUUCUACAUCUAUCCUUUUCGGAUACAGAUCUCCCCUCCCACCGCUCUCUGUUUACCACCUGACUACCAUCGCACAGAGACAAAAGACAUGUAGCAUGAAGUGUGGUUCUGUCAGGGCAGUCAGAGGGGAAAACACUAACCCGGGCAAACGGCGGCUUUCCAGGAGUCACGUCAUUCCAGCGCUCACUCAGAGGGAGUGAAAACGGAAAGUGUUUACCCAUCCUUGCUGGAAACCUGGAUGGCUGUGUGGAAAGAGGCACAGAGAGGUUAUAUAAACACCAGCUGAACCAUCCAAGCAGGCUGAAAAGGAGGAAGCAGGAAGCAGCUGAUGCUAUCACUGGUAGUGAUUUUUGAGCAUGUGUCUAUGAAUGCCUUUUUUUUGUUUUUGUGUCACUUCCUGGGAGAGAAUGGAAGAGGAAGUGGAGUGACUGGGUGAUGAUGGGAUGAAGGGAAUGAUGCUUCCAUAUUCCAUUUUAUACAGGCAUACACACACAGACUUAUUUGAAGCGUAGGAAGUACUUGUGUGUGUGUGUGUGUGUGUGUGUGUGUGUGUGUGUGUGUGUGUGUGUGUGUGUUGGGGGAAGGGUUGUGCAUAUUUGUGUUUUCUCAAACUUCUCUGAUUUACCACUGAAAUACUGCCCUCUUGUGUUUACACACAGAACUGCACACCAGCUUUUUUAUACAAAAGUUGUGUCACCAAAUAAUUAUUUCUAGAUAUCGAUUGCAUUUACUUUGUAGUUGCUCAGUAUUUUAUAAUACUUGAUUAUAAUACCUAUUAUUAUGAUUCACUUAGAGUGAUUUGAGGUCAGAGUUGGAGUGAAACUGAGGGUGGCACAACAUAUUUCAGUGCCAAACCUGUGGUCACAAACAAUCAACAGAUUUAAUCAUGCAUUUGUUUGACAGUUUAAACCAGGGGAGACAACACCUAUGGUACACCCAUAGGAGGAUGAGUCGAAAAUAACUCUCCUCGUGACAGAAUCUUAUUUAUCUACUGAUUAUUUACCCAGAAGUUACUAAUUUAUCCACCAGAAGUGUAUUCUUUAUGUAAUGUGGCAUCGUUCCACAAUCUCAAUAGAGCAUGCAGUCACAAAUGAAAUCAUCCCAGGACUCAUCAAGCUUUCAACACACUUAGUACUGUUUGUUUUGACUCUUCUCUGUCUGUAUAUUGUAAGGAUUUAUAAUCUGAAGUCAGCCUAGAAGAGAACGGGCGGCUUUUUUGAGUCUGCUUUCUCUCAAGGUUUUUUCCCUUCGUGUUUUGUCAGUUGAGUUUUUCUUGCCACUGUCCUUCCCUCUGGUUUGCUCAUUAGGAUCUAAAUCUACACCGUACAUUUGUCAAUG